Molecule: ribosomal RNA, 502 nt
Filed under: uncultured bacterium
Lineage: Bacteria
Description: bacterial SSU rRNA
Rfam family: Bacterial small subunit ribosomal RNA
Source: RNAcentral
AGAGUUUGAUCCUGGCUCAGAUUAAACGCUGGCGGCAUGCCUUACACAUGCAAGUCGAACGGCAGCACGGGGCAACCUGGUGGCGAGUGGCGAACGGGUGAGUAAAGCAUCGGAACGUGCCCUGGAGUGGGGGAUAACGUAGCGAAAGUUACGCUAAUACCGCAUAUUCUGUGAGCAGGAAAGCAGGGGAUCGCAAGACCUUGCGCUCUGGGAGCGGCCGAUGUCGGAUUAGCUAGUUGGUGGGGUAAAGGCCUACCAAGGCGACGAUCCGUAGCGGGUCUGAGAGGAUGAUCCGCCACACUGGGACUGAGACACGGUCCAGACUCCUACGGGAGGCAGCAGUGGGGAAUUUUGGACAAUGGGCGCAAGCCUGAUCCAGCCAUGCCGCGUGAGUGAAGAAGGCCUUCGGGUUGUAAAGCUCUUUCGGCCGGGAAGAAAUCGUGGUCUCUAACAUAGGCCAUGGAUGACGGUACCGGACUAAGAAGCACCGGCUAACUACGUG